This 76-nucleotide transfer RNA is filed under the name soil metagenome. It matches the Rfam family "tRNA". Rfam says of the family: Transfer RNA (tRNA) molecules are approximately 80 nucleotides in length. The record is from RNAcentral. RNAcentral also lists the same sequence under 1 other name.
GCCCACAUAGCUCAGUUGGUAGAGCACCUUCUUGGUAAGAAGGAGGUCUCCGGUUCGAGUCCGGAUGUGGGCUCCA